CCUGGUUGGGAGCCGUGGACUUUGGGGGCAGGAGCACCCCCUCCCAGUACCUUGACAAUUACCCCCUUUCUCUUCUGAGUCUCAAACCUGCCUGUCCUGCACCCUGGCCUGUCCUCUGGAGGUUAUCUGAUGAGGGCCUAUUCUAAGGAGUCUUCCCCUGGAUCCCACCUCACCCCUCCAGCUCCCGCUUCACCAUGAGCCCAUGGAGACAUGAGCCCCAGGACAGCUCUUUCUCUGGUCUCUCUUGCAGCGAGAAGUACCUGUGGGCACACUGGAGCACAGGCCUUGAUGUCUGCAGUGCUCCGGGCAAAAGGACAAAUGGAGGCCCACACACCAGAAUCUAAAUAUUAAACAACCAUAAAUCAAGCUGCUAAUAAAAUGUGUUCCAUCCUCCUACUGAACAAAUAAGCUUUCAUAGCAGUAAAAACAUCUGUAAAUCUAUGGUUUUUAUGUCUGAAAGUCCGCAGAUAUCCAAAAUGAUGGAACUUAAUAAUUAUCACUCAUGUCCAGGUGUUCAGUGACCUGAGGUUUAAGUGAGAGAACGAAGACUUGCCUGAUGCCUAAGACAUUCUGUA
Long non-coding RNA from Rhinopithecus roxellana (golden snub-nosed monkey), 575 nucleotides. RefSeq lists it as uncharacterized. The transcript has 3 exons. The record is from RefSeq and is a predicted model, not a curated record. Lineage: Eukaryota; Metazoa; Chordata; Mammalia; Primates; Cercopithecidae.